Molecule: non-coding RNA, 223 nt
Filed under: Paraburkholderia sp. BL9I2N2
Lineage: Bacteria; Pseudomonadati; Pseudomonadota; Betaproteobacteria; Burkholderiales; Burkholderiaceae
Source: RNAcentral
CGAGGGCCUCGCUUCAUAGGAUCUAGCAACUCACGUCGGCCCCGAGCCGUGCGUAGCCGCCCGCGAGGACGUCUGCGAAGCGUCGGCAGGGGUGCGUGCAGGCCAGCCAUUGAGCCACGAUAUUUGUAUCGUCCUGGGUGCUGACAUGUUAGUAAUCAUGGAAGGCAAUGUGACCGGUUGCGUUAUAGCGAGUGACCGGGCAACCCUGCGUGGUCAGAGACCC